Molecule: ribosomal RNA, 433 nt
Filed under: Alternaria sp. FL-2010l
Lineage: Eukaryota; Fungi; Ascomycota; Dothideomycetes; Pleosporales; Pleosporaceae
Description: eukaryotic LSU rRNA
Rfam family: 5.8S ribosomal RNA (bases 111-264)
Source: RNAcentral
CACCCUUGUCUUUUGCGUACUUCUUGUUUCCUUGGUGGGUUCGCCCACCACUAGGACAAACAUAAACCUUUUGUAAUUGCAAUCAGCGUCAGUAACAAAUUAAUAAUUACAACUUUCAACAACGGAUCUCUUGGUUCUGGCAUCGAUGAAGAACGCAGCGAAAUGCGAUAAGUAGUGUGAAUUGCAGAAUUCAGUGAAUCAUCGAAUCUUUGAACGCACAUUGCGCCCUUUGGUAUUCCAAAGGGCAUGCCUGUUCGAGCGUCAUUUGUACCCUCAAGCUUUGCUUGGUGUUGGGCGUCUUGUCUCUAGCUUUGCUGGAGACUCGCCUUAAAGUAAUUGGCAGCCGGCCUACUGGUUUCGGAGCGCAGCACAAGUCGCACUCUCUAUCANCAAAGGUCUAGCAUCCAUUAAGCCUUUUUUCAACUUUUGACCU